Molecule: ribosomal RNA, 465 nt
Filed under: Vreelandella stevensii
Lineage: Bacteria; Pseudomonadati; Pseudomonadota; Gammaproteobacteria; Oceanospirillales; Halomonadaceae
Description: partial 16S ribosomal RNA
Rfam family: Bacterial small subunit ribosomal RNA
Source: RNAcentral
CCUACGGGGGGCAGCAGUGGGGAAUAUUGGACAAUGGGCGAAAGCCUGAUCCAGCCAUGCCGCGUGUGUGAAGAAGGCCUUCGGGUUGUAAAGCACUUUCAGUGGGGAAGAAAGCCUUGGGGCUAAUACCCUCGAGGAAGGACAUCACCCACAGAAGAAGCACCGGCUAACUCCGUGCCAGCAGCCGCGGUAAUACGGAGGGUGCGAGCGUUAAUCGGAAUUACUGGGCGUAAAGCGCGCGUAGGCGGUCUGAUAAGCCGGUUGUGAAAGCCCCGGGCUCAACCUGGGAACGGCAUCCGGAACUGUCAGGCUAGAGUGCAGGAGAGGAAGGUAGAAUUCCCGGUGUAGCGGUGAGAUGCGUAGAGAUCGGGAGGAAUACCAGUGGCGAAGGCGGCCUUCUGGACUGACACUGACGCUGAGGUGCGAAAGCGUGGGUAGCAAACAGGAUUAGAUACCCGAGUAGUC